RNAcentral lists this ribosomal RNA (253 nucleotides) under uncultured bacterium. RNAcentral describes it as "partial 16S ribosomal RNA". It matches the Rfam family "Bacterial small subunit ribosomal RNA", at positions 524 to 776 of the family's 1533-position model. The record is from RNAcentral.
UACAGAGGGGGCAAGCGUUAUUCGGAAUUAUUGGGCGUAAAGGGCGCGUAGGCGGCUUCGCAAGUGGAAGGUGAAAUCCCUCGGCUUAACCGAGGAACUGCCCUCCAAACUGCGUGGCUUGAGUCCGGGAGAGGUGAGUGGAAUUCCCAGUGUAGCGGUGAAAUGCGUAGAUAUCAUUUGGAACGCCAAUGGCGAAAACAGGUAGCUGGGGCUGUGCUGACGCUGAGACACGAAAGCCAGGGGAGCAAACGGG